AUCUGGUAGAUAUCAAAGAUGGCUGACGAUUCAGCUAUGAAGCCUAUAGAGCAGGCCAAGUUGAUAGAGCAUAAAGUAGGAGAAAGGUCUGAUGAUUCAACUUCAAAACUGGCUGGCCCAUCCAAGAUAAUUAAGACAGCCGACCAAGAUUCAUCUGGUUACGCAACUACAAAAUGCGAGUCAAAGGAGUUGGAAGGAGUUCUACUUCACACUCAAAGACUGACUGUCCGAGAUACAUCUU
This is a long non-coding RNA of Strongylocentrotus purpuratus (purple sea urchin), 241 nucleotides long. RefSeq lists it as uncharacterized. NCBI's taxonomy places the organism in Eukaryota, Metazoa, Echinodermata, Echinoidea, Camarodonta, Strongylocentrotidae. The record is from RefSeq and is a predicted model, not a curated record. The transcript is spliced from 4 exons.